ACAAUAUUUGGACUGUCGGUCUACUGAGCAAUAUCACCCGCUCGGUGGAAGAUCGUCAAAAAUUUU
RNAcentral lists this microRNA precursor (66 nucleotides) under Bombyx mori (domestic silkworm). RNAcentral's name for it is "mir-2774 microRNA precursor family". It matches the Rfam family "mir-2774 microRNA precursor family". The record is from Rfam by way of RNAcentral. Lineage: Eukaryota; Metazoa; Arthropoda; Insecta; Lepidoptera; Bombycidae.